CACUCUUUGUGAAAAGUAUUUUCGUCACCAUUUUUCGGCCAUAACUCCGGCGUCCGGGGGUGGUUUUUCAAAAACUUGGUGUCAAAAGAAGCAUCUUCCCAUUGCAAACAAACCCCAAUUGAUUUUAUCCUCAAAUUUAUAACCAAUUGAUCAGGAUCUUAAUUUUCAUUUUGCGAAAUUACUGUAGCAAACAGAAUUUUUGUCACUUUUUUACGCUACUGCUUCCAGAUUUGGCGAUUUACUUUAAAGUUUUUGACAAUUAUUAGCUUGUUAUAAAAGUUUCAGCAUAUUCAAUUUAAAGGAAUCAAAAGAUUUUUUUAUUUCACACUGAUUUCUUUCCUUUUCUUGAGUGUCAAAGUAGAUUUUGAAACAGAAAAUAGUUUUAUUUUGUUUUUGGCUUACUGUUUCUGCUAUUAAGAGGUUGAUUCAGCUCAAUCUGCUCUUAUUUUGUUGUUGCUCUGUUGCUACUGUUGUUCUUCUUGCUAUUGCCUACGCCGCUUUAUUAAACUUGGAUUCAUCUGCUGCUACUGGCUCUGUUGCUACUGUUGUUCUUCUUGCUAUUGCCUACGAUGCUUUAUUAAACUUGGAUUCAUAUACUGCUACUGCUUUCUAUAUUCAAUUUUCUGCUCUUUAUUCUCAUCCGUAAGUUCAUUUUCUUUUAAUUCUUCUUUUCUUUGCUGUUACAGUUCUAGUUUUUCUGAUCAACGCAGAUUUAUUUUUUUUGACUGCUUUGGUUUUUAUAGUCCUCCCCCAAUCUGCUUUAGCUCUUCCAUUAAUAAGCUUUUCCUGUUCUUAUAAGAAAAUAACUUCGACGCAAACUUUAACCUGCUACUAUACUGCACAAGUCUGUCCGAUUUAGCCUUUAUUUGGCUAUCUGAAGCUUGUUUUGUUUUGAGUUUUCUAGAUUUUUUGAAUUCUUGCUUUUCGCCGACGAUUUUUCUGGCGACUCCUGCUAUUUUCCUCCUAUUCUCUCUUCUUCUUUUUGUGGGUGUGUGUGGGUGUGUUCUGUUUUCUUGGACAGGUGC
Molecule: long non-coding RNA, 1025 nt
Filed under: Nicotiana benthamiana
Lineage: Eukaryota; Viridiplantae; Streptophyta; Magnoliopsida; Solanales; Solanaceae
Description: long non-coding RNA (NBEN_LNC036249)
Source: RNAcentral